CCUACGGGUGGCAGCAGUGGGGAAUAUUGCGCAAUGGGGGCAACCCUGAUGCAGCAACGCCGCGUGAGUGAAGAAGGAAUUCGGUAUGUAAAGCUCUAUCAUCAGGGAAGAAAAUGACGGUACCUGAGUAAGAAGCCCCAGCUAACUACGUGCCAGCAGCCGCGGUAAUACGUAGGGGGCAAGCGUUUUCCGGAUUUACUGGGUGUAAAGAGGGCGUAGACGGCAGUGCAAGACUGAUGUGAAAGGCGGGGGCUUAACCCCCGGACUGCUCUGGAAACUGUACGGCUGGAGUGCAGGAGAGGCAAGUGGAAUUCCUAGUGUAGCGGUGAAAUGCGUAGAUAUUAGGAGGAACACCAGUGGCGAAGGCGGCUUACUGGACUGUAACUGACGGUGAGGCGCGAAAGCGUGGGGAGCAAACAGGAUUAGAUACCCCAGUAGUC
RNAcentral lists this ribosomal RNA (440 nucleotides) under uncultured bacterium. Its description in RNAcentral is "partial 16S ribosomal RNA". It matches the Rfam family "Bacterial small subunit ribosomal RNA", at positions 338 to 795 of the family's 1533-position model. The record is from RNAcentral.